GGGUCGGUGGUAUAACUGGUGUGUACGUCAGACUGAAAAUCUGAAAGAGGUGGUUCGAUUCCACCCUGACCCACCA
Molecule: transfer RNA, 76 nt
Filed under: Candidatus Pelagibacter sp.
Lineage: Bacteria; Pseudomonadati; Pseudomonadota; Alphaproteobacteria; Candidatus Pelagibacterales; Candidatus Pelagibacteraceae
Description: tRNA-Phe
Rfam family: tRNA
About the family: Transfer RNA (tRNA) molecules are approximately 80 nucleotides in length. Their secondary structure includes four short double-helical elements and three loops (D, anti-codon, and T loops).
Source: RNAcentral